GGUGAAAAGUACCCCGAGAGGGGAGUGAAAUAGACCUGAAACCGUGUGCCUACAAGCAGUCAGAGCCCGUCUUAGGGCGGGUAAUGGCGUGCCUAUUGAAGAAUGAGCCGGUGAGUUGAUCUGUGUGGCUGGUUAAGCAAUUUUCAUUGCGGAGCCAAAGCGAAAGCAAGUCUUAAUAGGGCGAUUUAGUUGCACGGAUCAGACCCGAAGCCGGGUGAGCUACCCAUGGCCAGAGUGAAGCUUCGAUAAGCUCGAAGUGGAGGCUCGAACCUGUCAGCGUUGCAGAGCUGUAGGAGGAGCUGUGGGUAGGGGUGAAAUGCCAACCGAACCCGGUGAUAGCUGGUUCUCCCCGAAAUGCAUUGAGGUGCAGCCUCAGGUAUUAGUUAAUGGAGGUAGGGCACUGGAUGGACUCGGUGGGAGAGUAUCCCGUCAACUCCAACCAAACCACGAAUGCCAUUAACCUUAAGCCUGGGAGUGAGACUGUGGGGGAUAAGCUUCAUAGUCGAGAGGGAAACAGCCCAGACCAUCAGCUAAGGUCCCCAAGAGCAGGCUAAGUGGGCAAGGAGGUAAGAUUGCCCAGACAGCCAGGAGGUUGGCUCAGAAGCAGCCAUCCUUUAAAGAGUGCGUAACAGCUCACUGGUUGAGUGGUCUUGCGCCGACAAUUUAACGGGGCUAAAGUCUGCCACCGAAGCUAUGGCUCUCUGAUUUUAUCAGGGAGGGUAGGGGAGCGUUCUCUUAGCCAUGAAGCUGCUAUGUGAAUAGUGGUGGAGUUAAGAGAAGUGAGAAUG
Molecule: ribosomal RNA, 788 nt
Filed under: marine sediment metagenome
Description: LSU rRNA
Rfam family: Bacterial large subunit ribosomal RNA
Source: RNAcentral